UAGGGAAUCUUCCGCAAUGGGCGAAAGCCUGACGGAGCAACGCCGCGUGAGUGAAGAAGGAUUUCGGUUCGUAAAGCUCUGUUGUUAGGGAAGAAUGAUUGUGUAGUAACUAUACACAGUAGAGACGGUACCUAACCAGAAAGCCACGGCUAACUACGUGCCAGCAGCCGCGGUAAUACGUAGGUGGCAAGCGUUGUCCGGAAUUAUUGGGCGUAAAGCGCGCGCAGGUGGUUUAAUAAGUCUGAUGUGAAAGCCCACGGCUCAACCGUGGAGGGUCAUUGGAAACUGUUAAACUUGAGUGCAGGAGAGAAAAGUGGAAUUCCAUGUGUAGCGGUGAAAUGCGUAGAUAUAUGGAGGAACACCGGUGGCGAAAGCGGCUCUCUGGCUUGUAACUGACGCUGAGGCUCGAAAGCGUAGGGAGCAAACAGGAUUAGAUACCCUGGUAGUCCACGCUGUAAACGAUGAGUGCUAGGUGUUAGACCCUUUCCGGGGUUUAGUGCCGUAGCUAACGCAUUAAGCACUCCGCCUGGGGAGUACGACCGCAAGGUUG
Molecule: ribosomal RNA, 550 nt
Filed under: uncultured bacterium
Lineage: Bacteria
Description: bacterial SSU rRNA
Rfam family: Bacterial small subunit ribosomal RNA
Source: RNAcentral